GCGAAAUUGGAAUAUUAAUUUGUAUAUCAGGAUUUAUGACACAGUGGAAGGCGGAGUUUAGUUCAGGGAAGCCGUUCGAAUUUAGACUUACUCUUUAAUUUCCACAGACAUGAAGUUAGGUAAGUUGUUAUUGCUAUUUACCAUUGUAAAUUAAAAAUUAUUGCAAUAAUAGAAACAAAUUAUAUGCUAACUCGGUUGAACAGUAAUACUUGUAACAUCACAUUGAUAUUACUUGCAUCCAUUCUUAAAAUAUACUUUUCAAAUUGAAAAAAAAUGAUCGAACAACGUUGAAAUGCUGAAUCAUUAUCACGAGAUGAAGAAAAAUAUAAUGAAUUUACUGAUAGCCUGGUCCUACUGGGUGUUUGGAUUGAUGACGUGACAGCAUCGAUAUCGUUCAGAACGUACGAGGAAUGUUUGGUAUAUUGCGAGCAAUUAUGCCUGGGCGAAGGAUGUACGGAUUUUUCUUGCAUGGCCAACACAGGAAUAUGCAAAUGUUGUGCCGGAAAUAAAAAUAUGCAUAGAAGAAGAAGAUGAUUAGGUACCUAAGGACUCUACAUUUCUCAACAAAAUGAACGCAGUUUUUGCUUUUUUUUUUGAAGUACCAUAGGUGAAUCAAAGAAGUACCUCAUAUCAUUUUGUUGAAAAAUCAAAUUGUUCUUCAUUUUACAUAACACUGUUUUCGCAUUAUCAAUGAAUAUUGAGUGAUA
Molecule: long non-coding RNA, 707 nt
Organism: Planococcus citri (citrus mealybug)
Lineage: Eukaryota; Metazoa; Arthropoda; Insecta; Hemiptera; Pseudococcidae
Exons: 2
Source: RefSeq, a predicted model, not a curated record